CAUUCUUUUUUAUCUGUGUUAUUGUACGCGAUUUAUAUAAUUUCUAAAAUAUACAAAUUUUAUACGUGCAAUCCUCGCGAGUUUAUUUAUCAAGUUCCUUGCGCAUCCUUAUCAUCCAGUCCACUAAAGUUGGUAUUUUCGUAACAAUUUGUAGUAAGUACUGCACACGAAGCUACAGUUUUAAAAUAGGCCCGCAGAAGGAAAGAAGAAUUAGGAACACAAACCUAGUGCAUACAGUAAGCAUUGGAUAUAAUGAUAUAUACAUACAUAUACUUACUUUAUAUUGUAAUACAAUAUACAAAAAUA
This is a long non-coding RNA of Bombyx mori (domestic silkworm), 306 nucleotides long. RefSeq lists it as uncharacterized. The transcript is spliced from 2 exons. Lineage: Eukaryota; Metazoa; Arthropoda; Insecta; Lepidoptera; Bombycidae. The record is from RefSeq and is a predicted model, not a curated record.